Molecule: ribosomal RNA, 1245 nt
Filed under: Triticum aestivum (bread wheat)
Lineage: Eukaryota; Viridiplantae; Streptophyta; Magnoliopsida; Poales; Poaceae
Description: partial small subunit ribosomal RNA
Source: RNAcentral
AUGGAGCUCUCCAGGAUCCGGACCUUCGAGAAGCGCCUCCUCCGGCCGCUCCUCUCCCUGCCCGCGCGCUCCCGGGCGUUCCAGACCCUGGCCCGCUCCACCCCUCCGCCGCCCUGCGCCCCCUCCCUCCUCCUCCUGCUCCGCACGCGCCACCUCGCGCCCCAUCCCCAUCCCCCACGCCGCGCCUCGCUCCCGCCCCUCCGCUCCUUCGCGUCCGUCUCCCCGGCCCCGUCGGCCCCCGGGAAGGACCUCCAGGGCAGCAACGGCAACGACGACGACGACGGCCUCCCGCCCGCGCCCCUCCCGCCGCCGCCCGAGGAGCUCGGUUCCGACGACGACGCCUACUACCAGGAGCAGCUGCUCGAGUACGCGCAAGAGGACGAGGCCCGCCUCGUCCCCGUCAAGGCCUACUUCCCCUGCACCAGCAUCAACCUCAAGAGCCUCCAGUCGCAGAACUCCUUCAAUGUCAUCCCGCCUACUUCGCGUGCCACCAAUUAUGUCGUCCUCAGAUACUAUGAUGUCAAGGGAGACCCAGAGGGUUUUAAGACUGGUGUCAUAGAUGAGAGCCAUUGCCACUAUAUGGUAGUUUUCCAAUAUGGGUCCAUCGUGCUGUUCAAUGUUUCUGACCAUGAAGCAGAUGGAUACCUAAAAAUUGUCGAGAGGCAUGCUUCAGGGUUACUGCCAGAGAUGAGGAAAGAUGAUUACGCCGUUGUUGAGAGGCCUGCCAUGGAGAAGUGGAUGGAGGGUGGACUUGAUUUUAUUAUACUUAAGGAUCUGAGUAUCGAUGGUAUUCGGACAAUUGGAAGUGUACUUGGUCAGAGUAUCGCUCUUGACUAUUAUAUCCGGCAAGUGGAUGGAAUGGUUGCCGAGUUCACGGAUAUAAAUCGUGGAAUGGAGAAAACUGGUACCUUCACUAUGGAGAGGAAAAAGCUUUUCCAGUUAGUCGGAAAGGCUAACUCUAACUUGGCAGAUGUCAUUCUUAAGCUUGGACUUUUUGAGAGGUCAGACAUUGCUUGGAAGAACGCAAACUAUGCGCAGAUCUGGGAGUUCCUCCGGGACGAGUACGAGCUAACCCAAAGAUUCGGAAACCUUGAUUUCAAGUUGAAAUUUGUUGAGCACAACAUCCGGUUCCUCCAGGAGAUCCUCCAGAACAGGAAGUCGGACUUCCUGGAGUGGCUGAUCAUCAUCCUCAUCAGCGUGGAGAUCUUGAUAUCCGUGUACAACAUUGUCCAGGAGCAGAUGUAG